RNAcentral lists this ribosomal RNA (777 nucleotides) under uncultured Neocallimastigales. Its description in RNAcentral is "partial large subunit ribosomal RNA". It matches the Rfam family "Eukaryotic large subunit ribosomal RNA", at positions 24 to 635 of the family's 3401-position model. The record is from RNAcentral. Lineage: Eukaryota; Fungi; Neocallimastigomycota; Neocallimastigomycetes; Neocallimastigales.
UAUCUCUGUAGAGUCUGCAUAUCAAUAAGCGGAGGAAAAGAAACUAACUAAGGAUUCCCUCAGUAACGGCGAGUGAAGCGGGAAGAGCUCAAAUUUGAAAUCUUCAAGGUUCUACCUUGACGAAUUGUAGUUUAAAGAAGUGUUUUCUGUUGGUAGUUUUGGUAAAAGUUCUUUGGAAUAGGACAUCAUAGAGGGUGAGAAUCCCGUAUUUGACCAUUAUUUCCAGCUUUGUGAUACACUUUCAAAGAGUCGGAUUGUUUGGGAAUGCAGUCCAAAAUGGGUGGUAAAUUUCAUCUAAAGCUAAAUACUGGCGAGAGACCGAUAGCGAACAAGUACCGUGAGGGAAAGAUGAAAAGAACUUUGAAAAGAGAGUUAAACAGUACGUGAAAUUGUCAAAAGGGAAGCGUUUGACACCAGUGUUGUUUUCUCGAAAAUCAAUUAAAAAAGGCAGGAUUUUGUGUUGUAUUGACUUUAUCAGCUUUCUGCACUCUUUUCUUGUCUUUUUUUAAUGCACUUUUCGUUUAACAAGUCAACAUCAAUUUCUUUUGUUGUAAAAGGGUCAUUGGAAGGUGGCUUUCUUUUCGGAGAAAGUGUUUAUAGCCUUUGGCCUCUGCAAUCGGAGAGAUUGAGGUCUGCAGCGUAGAUCCUUCGGGGUUAGAUACAUUUGUGCUAAGUUAUAGCCUUUCAUAGACAACUUGUUGACUAUGAUCAGUCAUGUAGCUUACUCGCUUACGCUAUUUUACCUACGCUUAGGAUGUUGAAGAUGUAGCACAUCAU